RNAcentral lists this non-coding RNA (24 nucleotides) under Arabidopsis thaliana (thale cress). The record is from RNAcentral. Lineage: Eukaryota; Viridiplantae; Streptophyta; Magnoliopsida; Brassicales; Brassicaceae.
AGGGUCUAAUAAACGUGGCGUGUC